Suricata suricatta (meerkat) is the source of this 1405-nucleotide long non-coding RNA. RefSeq lists it as uncharacterized. The record is from RefSeq and is a predicted model, not a curated record. The transcript has 2 exons. Lineage: Eukaryota; Metazoa; Chordata; Mammalia; Carnivora; Herpestidae.
CCCACGGACUGUGAGAUCAUGACCUGAGCCGAAGCUGGAUGCUGCACUGACUGAGCCCCCAGGCGCCCGUUUCACUGGCACUUCAGAAGACGGGGGCUUCCUCUCCUGCCUCCAGCAUGUUCCCAGAGGAAUUUCCAUAGAGUAGAAGGUGGGGAAGGAAGCUCUACACCCUGCAUGGAGCUCGAACUCAUGAUCCCGAGAGCAGAGCAGACGUCGGACGCUUCCCUGGCUCUGCUUGCCCCGCCCCCCAAGUCUGCGGGGCCCCGCCCUGGAACCUCCCGGAGUCUGAGCACUAACCUCAUUCCCAGCCACCCGGCUCCCAAGAAAACCAUGCACAUGCCCCAGGGCGUGUUUAAUGUGAGUCAGUCUUUAUUUUGCACUUAUGUGGCGCACUGACAAGGUCCACACACAGGACAGCACCACACGCCGUGGGUCAGCAGAACAGCAUUAUGCAGAGUCACACAACUCAGGUUAGCUUUUUCUGUUUUUUCUUUUUUCUUUUUUAAUUUGACACAUUUAUCUCGAGUUUCAUUUUUACAAGAGAAGACACAAGGUAAAGAAAGACGACCACGUUGGAGAAGGAUCAUGGUGAGGGCAAUGUCGCUAUUGUGGCCGUAGUCAAGCCUUCCAAGAAAAGGGUUCGUACCGUUCCUUCUCCUGAGCAAGUCGCUCCCGUCCCACAAGCCAGUUCUCUGUUUUCAUACCGAGAGCACGUUCACGGCCACGGAACUCGUGGCUCCACUCCAUCAAGAAGAGCUGAAUGGAGGAUUAACUCAUAAACAGACUUUCGUUAUUAAGAAAACUUGUCUUCCCAAAGGAAUCAAGGCAGCAGAGAAGGACCGACUCUUGGAAAAUCCCUAACCCGUUCCCGACCGCGAGUGCCUUGUGCAAAAGCUAGGGUGCGACUCUUGUCUUUCAACGGACUCUUGAGGAGGACACACUGCUCCCCCGCCCUUAGCAGGUGGCUCUGGGAGGGACACGGGUGAAAGCCAAAGGCAGCUAGGAAACUUUGGGACAGCAAAGCCAAGGGCACGAUGGAUCAGGCGUGAGGUAGGAGGGAGGAGCCCUGUGCUGUCUGCCUCUUUUGGAGGCGACUCCAGGCCCCAGAACUACCGGUCCUCGCCCUGUCCCCUCGCCACCCACUGCUCAACAGCCCCAGAGAAUGAGGGAGGAAAGCGGACUGGAGGGGGGGGAUGGGCGCCAUGUGACAAGCUACAUCAGCGGGGCAAAGACCAGACUCUGCCGCCUGGGGCUCAGCAUUACUUCUGGCAAGGAUGCGAGAGCAGGUGCUCAGCGGGUUCUGAUCUUCAGACAUUAAGGCGAUGAAGAGGAAGCAUUUAGGUUUUUUCCUAAUGGGGCUUCAGGAUGCUCCUGUCCGAUUUACAUUAAACUAUCUCAAAAUGCA